This is a small nuclear RNA of Sarcophilus harrisii (Tasmanian devil), 115 nucleotides long. The record is from Ensembl. NCBI's taxonomy places the organism in Eukaryota, Metazoa, Chordata, Mammalia, Dasyuromorphia, Dasyuridae.
GUGCUCCCUUUGGCAACAUAUAUUCUGAAAUUGGAAUGAUAGGGAGAAGAUUAGCAUGGUCUUUGCUCAAAAAUGACAUGCAAAUUCGGGAAGGACUAAUUCCUCCCUUAAUUUU